GCAUCCCUGCUGUGUGCGUGAGAAGUCGUAAGUUUUUGCCAACACAAAGACAAAGGGAGCCUGGACUCUGUAUAUGGCAUGGAAGCCCCUGAUAAGGGGGAACCAUAAAGUAUACAGGAGGGCACCCACCUGGUAUUUGGGGUUUAAACUACGACUUAUCACGGCUCGGUGGGGUUUUU
Molecule: non-coding RNA, 179 nt
Filed under: Thermosyntropha lipolytica DSM 11003
Lineage: Bacteria; Bacillati; Bacillota; Clostridia; Eubacteriales; Syntrophomonadaceae
Description: 6S / SsrS RNA
Rfam family: 6S / SsrS RNA
About the family: E. coli 6S RNA was the first non coding RNA to be sequenced, but its function was unknown until recently.
Source: Rfam by way of RNAcentral